UUAUGUUAAAGUGGCCCAAGAAGAUACAGGAGGAUCCAUUGCCUAUUGCAUAUAGGAAAAGCUGCUCAACGAAAGAAAGGGAAACACGCAGCAAAGCGGAUCACAGGGAUUCCACACGCACUACAGGACGAGGAAAGGAUUGAAGCACAUCACAUACAGCAAGGACGGAAACGGAAGAGAAAUUGAAGAAGCAAAGGAAGGCAACGUGAAGAGCAAAGCAAUCCAUCUUGGGUNNNNNNNNNNNNNNNNNNNNNNNUUCUUUAAAUAUUAUGUCUAGCUAAAUUUACAUGAUUGGUCCUUAGGGGAUUCUAAUUGUUAUUUUUCUUGAACAAUGUGAUUAUCAUAUGAUAUGAUCAAUGAAUUACGAAGUUAGUUUCUUCAAUUAUUCCUUGUGUUUAAUGCUUUGCAUGACUUGAUCAAUUGUGUAAUGAUUUCAAUUAUUUGUUUUACUAUGACGAUAGGAAUGAAUGAUCGAUCUAGGAAUGAUUGAUCCAUUAACUUUCACUUAAGACAUUUCGGAUUGUUAAUUGAGAUUAAAAGAUUAAAGUUUAUAAACCUCAAUUGAUCAUAGAUUACCUAAGACAUUAGGAAUUGAUGAUCAAGAGAGAGGAUUAUGUUACCAAGACAUUGGGCAUAAUCAUUUUUGAUUUAAUCUAAUCGUGAAACUGAAUUGAGUAAUUUGUAAUCAUACAUGAAAUUACCAAGAGAAAUAGUAAUUAGAUGAACCAAA
RNAcentral lists this long non-coding RNA (730 nucleotides) under Trifolium pratense (red clover). Its description in RNAcentral is "long non-coding RNA (TPRA_LNC007123)". The record is from RNAcentral. Lineage: Eukaryota; Viridiplantae; Streptophyta; Magnoliopsida; Fabales; Fabaceae.